This 242-nucleotide ribosomal RNA is filed under the name uncultured bacterium. RNAcentral describes it as "partial 16S ribosomal RNA". It matches the Rfam family "Bacterial small subunit ribosomal RNA", at positions 535 to 776 of the family's 1533-position model. The record is from RNAcentral.
CAAGCGUUGUUCGGAUUCAUUGGGCGUAAAGGGUGCGUAGGCGGCGCGGUAAGUCGGGUGUGAAAUCUCGGAGCUUAACUCCGAAACUGCAUUCGAUACUGCCGUGCUUGAGGACUGGAGAGGAGACUGGAAUUUACGGUGUAGCGGUGAAAUGCGUAGAUAUCGUAAGGAAGACCAGUGGCGAAGGCGGGUCUCUGGACAGUUCCUGACGCUGAGGCACGAAGGCCAGGGGAGCAAACGGG